UACGUAGGGGGCUAGCGUUGUCCGGAAUCAUUGGGCGUAAAGCGCGCGUAGGCGGCCCGGUAAGUCCGCUGUAAAAGUCAAAGGCUCAACCUUUGAAUGUCAGUGGAUACUGCCGGGCUAGAGUCCGGAAGAGGCGAGUGGAACUCCUGGUGUAGCGGUGGAAUGCGCAGAUAUCGGGAGGAACACCAGUGGCGAAGGCGGUUGCCUGGAGCUUUGCUGACGCUGAGGCGCGAAAGCGUGGGGAGCGAUCCGG
This 253-nucleotide ribosomal RNA is filed under the name uncultured bacterium. RNAcentral describes it as "partial 16S ribosomal RNA". It matches the Rfam family "Bacterial small subunit ribosomal RNA", at positions 524 to 776 of the family's 1533-position model. The record is from RNAcentral.